ACCUGGGUGGCUCAGUUAGUUGAGCGUCUGACUUCGGCUCAGGACAUGAUCUCAGUUCGUGGGUUCGAGCCCCGCAUCAGGCU
This 83-nucleotide transfer RNA is filed under the name Felis catus (domestic cat). It matches the Rfam family "tRNA". From Rfam's summary of the family: Transfer RNA (tRNA) molecules are approximately 80 nucleotides in length. Their secondary structure includes four short double-helical elements and three loops (D, anti-codon, and T loops). Further hydrogen bonds mediate the characteristic L-shaped molecular structure. tRNAs have two regions of fundamental functional importance: the anti-codon, which is responsible for specific mRNA codon recognition, and the 3' end, to which the tRNAs corresponding amino acid is attached (by aminoacyl-tRNA synthetases). tRNAs cope with the degeneracy of the genetic code in two manners: having more than one tRNA (with a specific anti-codon) for a particular amino acid; and 'wobble' base-pairing, i.e. permitting non-standard base-pairing at the 3rd anti-codon position. Lineage: Eukaryota; Metazoa; Chordata; Mammalia; Carnivora; Felidae. The record is from Rfam by way of RNAcentral.